RNAcentral lists this ribosomal RNA (2933 nucleotides) under Escherichia coli. RNAcentral describes it as "23S ribosomal RNA". It matches the Rfam family "Bacterial large subunit ribosomal RNA". Lineage: Bacteria; Pseudomonadati; Pseudomonadota; Gammaproteobacteria; Enterobacterales; Enterobacteriaceae. The record is from RNAcentral.
GGGUUGUGAGGUUAAGCGACUAAGCGUACACGGUGGAUGCCCUGGCAGUCAGAGGCGAUGAAGGACGUGCUAAUCUGCGAUAAGCGUCGGUAAGGUGAUAUGAACCGUUAUAACCGGCGAUUUCCGAAUGGGGAAACCCAGUGUGAUUCGUCACACUAUCAUUAACUGAAUCCAUAGGUUAAUGAGGCGAACCGGGGGAACUGAAACAUCUAAGUACCCCGAGGAAAAGAAAUCAACCGAGAUUCCCCCAGUAGCGGCGAGCGAACGGGGAGCAGCCCAGAGCCUGAAUCAGUGUGUGUGUUAGUGGAAGCGUCUGGAAAGGCGCGCGAUACAGGGUGACAGCCCCGUACACAAAAAUGCACAUGCUGUGAGCUCGAUGAGUAGGGCGGGACACGUGGUAUCCUGUCUGAAUAUGGGGGGACCAUCCUCCAAGGCUAAAUACUCCUGACUGACCGAUAGUGAACCAGUACCGUGAGGGAAAGGCGAAAAGAACCCCGGCGAGGGGAGUGAAAAAGAACCUGAAACCGUGUACGUACAAGCAGUGGGAGCACAGAGCAAUCUGUGUGACUGCGUACCUUUUGUAUAAUGGGUCAGCGACUUAUAUUCUGUAGCAAGGUUAACCGAAUAGGGGAGCCGAAGGGAAACCGAGUCUUAACUGGGCGUUAAGUUGCAGGGUAUAGACCCGAAACCCGGUGAUCUAGCCAUGGGCAGGUUGAAGGUUGGGUAACACUAACUGGAGGACCGAACCGACUAAUGUUGAAAAAUUAGCGGAUGACUUGUGGCUGGGGGUGAAAGGCCAAUCAAACCGGGAGAUAGCUGGUUCUCCCCGAAAGCUAUUUAGGUAGCGCCUCGUGAAUUCAUCUCCGGGGGUAGAGCACUGUUUCGGCAAGGGGGUCAUCCCGACUUACCAACCCGAUGCAAACUGCGAAUACCGGAGAAUGUUAUCACGGGAGACACACGGCGGGUGCUAACGUCCGUCGUGAAGAGGGAAACAACCCAGACCGCCAGCUAAGGUCCCAAAGUCAUGGUUAAGUGGGAAACGAUGUGGGAAGGCCCAGACAGCCAGGAUGUUGGCUUAGAAGCAGCCAUCAUUUAAAGAAAGCGUAAUAGCUCACUGGUCGAGUCGGCCUGCGCGGAAGAUGUAACGGGGCUAAACCAUGCACCGAAGCUGCGGCAGCGACGCUGAUGCGUUGUUGGGUAGGGGAGCGUUCUGUAAGCCUGUGAAGGUGUGCUGUGAGGCAUGCUGGAGGUAUCAGAAGUGCGAAUGCUGACAUAAGUAACGAUAAAGCGGGUGAAAAGCCCGCUCGCCGGAAGACCAAGGGUUCCUGUCCAACGUUAAUCGGGGCAGGGUGAGUCGACCCCUAAGGCGAGGCCGAAAGGCGUAGUCGAUGGGAAACAGGUUAAUAUUCCUGUACUUGGUGUUACUGCGAAGGGGGGACGGAGAAGGCUAUGUUGGCCGGGCGACGGUUGUCCCGGUUUAAGCGUGUAGGCUGGUUUUCCAGGCAAAUCCGGAAAAUCAAGGCUGAGGCGUGAUGACGAGGCACUACGGUGCUGAAGCAACAAAUGCCCUGCUUCCAGGAAAAGCCUCUAAGCAUCAGGUAACAUCAAAUCGUACCCCAAACCGACACAGGUGGUCAGGUAGAGAAUACCAAGGCGCUUGAGAGAACUCGGGUGAAGGAACUAGGCAAAAUGGUGCCGUAACUUCGGGAGAAGGCACGCUGAUAUGUAGGUGAAGUCCCUCGCGGAUGGAGCUGAAAUCAGUCGAAGAUACCAGCUGGCUGCAACUGUUUAUUAAAAACACAGCACUGUGCAAACACGAAAGUGGACGUAUACGGUGUGACGCCUGCCCGGUGCCGGAAGGUUAAUUGAUGGGGUUAGCGCAAGCGAAGCUCUUGAUCGAAGCCCCGGUAAACGGCGGCCGUAACUAUAACGGUCCUAAGGUAGCGAAAUUCCUUGUCGGGUAAGUUCCGACCUGCACGAAUGGCGUAAUGAUGGCCAGGCUGUCUCCACCCGAGACUCAGUGAAAUUGAACUCGCUGUGAAGAUGCAGUGUACCCGCGGCAAGACGGAAAGACCCCGUGAACCUUUACUAUAGCUUGACACUGAACAUUGAGCCUUGAUGUGUAGGAUAGGUGGGAGGCUUUGAAGUGUGGACGCCAGUCUGCAUGGAGCCGACCUUGAAAUACCACCCUUUAAUGUUUGAUGUUCUAACGUUGACCCGUAAUCCGGGUUGCGGACAGUGUCUGGUGGGUAGUUUGACUGGGGCGGUCUCCUCCUAAAGAGUAACGGAGGAGCACGAAGGUUGGCUAAUCCUGGUCGGACAUCAGGAGGUUAGUGCAAUGGCAUAAGCCAGCUUGACUGCGAGCGUGACGGCGCGAGCAGGUGCGAAAGCAGGUCAUAGUGAUCCGGUGGUUCUGAAUGGAAGGGCCAUCGCUCAACGGAUAAAAGGUACUCCGGGGAUAACAGGCUGAUACCGCCCAAGAGUUCAUAUCGACGGCGGUGUUUGGCACCUCGAUGUCGGCUCAUCACAUCCUGGGGCUGAAGUAGGUCCCAAGGGUAUGGCUGUUCGCCAUUUAAAGUGGUACGCGAGCUGGGUUUAGAACGUCGUGAGACAGUUCGGUCCCUAUCUGCCGUGGGCGCUGGAGAACUGAGGGGGGCUGCUCCUAGUACGAGAGGACCGGAGUGGACGCAUCACUGGUGUUCGGGUUGUCAUGCCAAUGGCACUGCCCGGUAGCUAAAUGCGGAAGAGAUAAGUGCUGAAAGCAUCUAAGCACGAAACUUGCCCCGAGAUGAGUUCUCCCUGACUCCUUGAGAGUCCUGAAGGAACGUUGAAGACGACGACGUUGAUAGGCCGGGUGUGUAAGCGCAGCGAUGCGUUGAGCUAACCGGUACUAAUGAACCGUGAGGCUUAACCUUACAACGCCGAAGGUGUUU